GUGAAAUUUUUAAUAGGAAGUAAGUUCUUUACGAAUUUGUUGGAACUAAAAAGUUUAGGUAAAAAACCAGGAUUAGAUACCCUGUUAUUCUAAAAAAUAAUAAAAGAUAGGGUAGUAAAAGUUGUUCUUCAAACCCAAAGAUUUUGGCGGCACCCUAUCCUAACAGAGGAGCUUGUCCUGUAAUUGAUAAUCCUCAUUUUAUCUUACCCUUCCUUGCUUAGCUUGUAUACCGCCGUUGUCAGAUUACUUUAGAAGAAUGUUUUCAAGAAAAAUAUUUUUUUUACUUCAGGUCAAGGUGCAGUUUAUGGUAGGGGAGUUAUGAGCUACAAUUUUUAUUAGAAAACACGAAUUCUAGGUUAAAAACUGGUUGAAGGUGGAUUUGUUAGUAAAUUUAUUUAAGUAUAGUAAAUUGAAUGGGGCAAUUGGGUGUGCACAUAUCGCCCGUCACUCUCUUCUUAAGAGGAGAUAA
RNAcentral lists this ribosomal RNA (469 nucleotides) under Daphnia oregonensis. RNAcentral's name for it is "partial small subunit ribosomal RNA". The stretch from base 110 to 469 matches the Rfam family "Microsporidia small subunit ribosomal RNA", at positions 752 to 1267 of the family's 1311-position model. Lineage: Eukaryota; Metazoa; Arthropoda; Branchiopoda; Diplostraca; Daphniidae. The record is from RNAcentral.